UUGAUGCAAAAUGUUUAAAAGCAAUAUUCAAACGAUAUUUUACAAACAAUUUACAUACACUUUCAUGAUAUAAUAAAAACCUAAAUUUAAUCAAAUGACAGAAAUUGUAAACUUGUUUGUGUCGGAUACGUCGGAUACGGAGCAUAAUGCUUGUUAUCCGGAUUUACUGUUCCAGUGCAGUCAGCGGACAACAUUUAUCAUACGACUGUUCCCAACGCCUAACAGACAAACGCCGAAGAAUUAUGGGACCAGUUACCGGAAAUACAAUUUCCCGCAUUUUUGACAAGACAAAGAUUUAAAGAAAAUACGUUGAAUAAAAGAAUUAUCUCUAUAACGACCAUAUAACGCUGGUAAGAAUAACAAAAAGUAUGCAUUUGGGACCCAUUUUAUGAUUGCUCAUGAUCAUGAUGAUUCGAUGAACAUUUAUCUUGAAAUCGGGAGUGGAUACAGGAUUACAAAAAAGGGGGAGCCGCCUGGCAUAAUUACUUUUCACAACCAAAUGAUGUAACACGUCUUUAUAGUCUUUGCAUUUUGAUUUUGGUCUCUUAUCCCUGAAUCCUGCUCAUAUAAUAACAAAAGAGCGUUUAUUAAGCACAAAUUGAUAAAGGUAGCUGUGUUUGUGCUCCAUUCAGUUCUGCAACGAUUAUAUCUGUACCCAAAACAAUGGCAUCAGGUCUGUUCGUCCUAAAAAAAUGUUAGCUCUAGGUCUGUUUGCCGUGAGCUCAUUUGAUUCACCUGUAGAGUCCAUUGCCCUACU
This 757-nucleotide long non-coding RNA is filed under the name Mytilus galloprovincialis (Mediterranean mussel). Lineage: Eukaryota; Metazoa; Mollusca; Bivalvia; Mytilida; Mytilidae. The record is from RNAcentral.